RNAcentral lists this ribosomal RNA (897 nucleotides) under Triticum aestivum (bread wheat). RNAcentral's name for it is "partial small subunit ribosomal RNA". Lineage: Eukaryota; Viridiplantae; Streptophyta; Magnoliopsida; Poales; Poaceae. The record is from RNAcentral.
AUGGCGGCGGAGUCGAGUACGCAGAGACGGCAGGGAAAGGAGUCGCCGGAAGAGCUACUGGCCAGACUUAACCUGCAAGAAGAGGAAGAUGAUGAUUUCGUCUGGGAGGAGGAGUUGCCAGAUCUGGGAGCUCCAGCAAAGUGGCUGGCCAUUGCAAGGGUACACACCCCGAAGAAGUUCAGCCCUAAUGCUCUAUAUGGGGACAUGUGGGCGGCAUGGAAUCCGGCAAAAACUGUUGCGUGGAGGAAGAUCAAAGACAACCUUUUUACUACUCAAUUUGGAUGUUUGGGGGAUUGGAACAAAGCUAUGAUGGAGGGCCCAUGGUUGUUUAGAGAUCAGGCUGUGAUCAUGGAAGAAUAUGAUGGUUUCAAAAACCCUGAGAGUUUUAAGCUGGAUAAGCUGGCAGUAUGGGCACAGAUCCAUCGCCUUCCUGACAACUUUUUGAUUGAGCCGGCGGUCAGAGGUUCGGCAUCUCGUAUUGGGGAAGUAGAGGACGUCCAAUUGAAACUCCCAGCAGGUUUCUUUGGUGAGUUUGUAAGAGUACGGGUGAAGAUUGAUGUACAUGCCAAGAUCAAGAGAUUUGUGACUGGAAAGAAGGGAGAAGAGAGGGUUAGAUACCAAGUAAAAUAUGAGAAGCUCCCAGUUUUCUGUUUCCACUGUGGUGAAUUCGGUCAUUGGCAUGAGGAGUGUGGUGAUGGAGUUCAUGAUGAGUCUAAGUUUGAAUGGGGAGACUUUGUUCUUGCAGAUAAUGUGCGCUUCCGACAAGCAGGGAGGGGUAGCUAUGGUCCUCAAAGGGGCCGGGGUGUACCAAGGAAUGCAGGCGGUAGAGGGAGAGGGAGGGAACCCUACAAUCCCAAUCAACCAUGGCGUUUCAACGCACAACCCACUGAGAACUAG